Molecule: ribosomal RNA, 650 nt
Filed under: Pseudomonas sp. MY-CA106
Lineage: Bacteria; Pseudomonadati; Pseudomonadota; Gammaproteobacteria; Pseudomonadales; Pseudomonadaceae
Description: bacterial SSU rRNA
Rfam family: Bacterial small subunit ribosomal RNA
Source: RNAcentral
UCCUGGAUUCAGCGGCGGACGGGUGAGUAAUGCCUAGGAAUCUGCCUGGUAGUGGGGGACAACGUUUCGAAAGGAACGCUAAUACCGCAUACGUCCUACGGGAGAAAGCAGGGGACCUUCGGGCCUUGCGCUAUCAGAUGAGCCUAGGUCGGAUUAGCUAGUUGGUGAGGUAAUGGCUCACCAAGGCGACGAUCCGUAACUGGUCUGAGAGGAUGAUCAGUCACACUGGAACUGAGACACGGUCCAGACUCCUACGGGAGGCAGCAGUGGGGAAUAUUGGACAAUGGGCGAAAGCCUGAUCCAGCCAUGCCGCGUGUGUGAAGAAGGUCUUCGGAUUGUAAAGCACUUUAAGUUGGGAGGAAGGGUUGUAGAUUAAUACUCUGCAAUUUUGACGUUACCGACAGAAUAAGCACCGGCUAACUCUGUGCCAGCAGCCGCGGUAAUACAGAGGGUGCAAGCGUUAAUCGGAAUUACUGGGCGUAAAGCGCGCGUAGGUGGUUUGUUAAGUUGGAUGUGAAAUCCCCGGGCUCAACCUGGGAACUGCAUCCAAAACUGGCAAGCUAGAGUAUGGUAGAGGGUGGUGGAAUUUCCUGUGUAGCGGUGAAAUGCGUAGAUAUAGGAAGGAACACCAGUGGCGAAGGCGACCACCU